GUUGAAACACCGGUUCCUGUACAAUCAUCGAAGUUAAACAACGUUGGGCCUGGCCAGUACCUAGAUGGGUGACCGCUUAGGAAUAUCAGCCGCUGUAA
Acanthosepion pharaonis is the source of this 98-nucleotide non-coding RNA. The record is from the annotation of a GenBank genome assembly. Lineage: Eukaryota; Metazoa; Mollusca; Cephalopoda; Sepiida; Sepiidae.